RNAcentral lists this long non-coding RNA (2171 nucleotides) under Anas zonorhyncha (Eastern spot-billed duck). Its description in RNAcentral is "lncRNA (ENSAZOG00000013354.1)". The record is from RNAcentral. Lineage: Eukaryota; Metazoa; Chordata; Aves; Anseriformes; Anatidae.
AUGCUGCUUUUGCUGUGCUCCCUGUCCUUAUUUCCUAAGGGAAUGCAGAUACGGGCAGGUUCAGUGGGUGUCCAGAGCAGCAGGCAGCACAGCCAGGACGAGCACGCGGCAGGAGCAGCGAGGGAGGUGGCGUGUGGCAUGCAGGGCAAGGAGCCCGAAAGCAAGAGCUGCUCAGCAGGGCAGCGAAGUUGUUUUGCAAGACAGGUGGCUGUGGGGUCUCUUUGGUCAGCAGGAUUGGAAGAGAGCCAUCGUCUGCUUCCUCGAUGGUCUGCCAGCCCCUGUGUUUGGGAAGGCAAAUCUGAAAGGAAGCUGUUGAGCACUCUUCUGUGUGAGUUCCUCAGACGAUGGUUGUGUUUCUCCCCCUCGUUCCACCCGUUUUCAAAUAAUUUUCAUGCUGGGAAUAAAUCUGAGCGCAUAACAAUAAUGUUCAGCAUAUGAUAACCAAGACAAUUGUAUAUAUACAAGCAGCCACAUGGAAAACAAAUGAGCUGAUGGAAAAAAGUGCAAGAUGAACCAGAGACACAGUUACCAUUUUCACAGUAAGACCAAAUAACUUUGCCAUUUCCAUGUAACUACCCUUUCUUUUUCCCCCCCCAGGAAAAUAGGAUUUUGAAAUACAUUUUUAGUUACUAAUUUAUUUAUUUUUCUCAACAAUUUAUGUGAUGGUGGGAAAAACCUCUCUCCCAUCAGCCAGUAUGCUAUGGGCCAACUACACCUAAGGAACACAAAGCUGAAUUCUUCCCUGAAUUUCAUCUAUGAAAUUCUGCUGAAUUCAGUGGCGUUUUGUAGCUGGAGCUCAGGAUUUUGACACUAGUGUAUGAGUUAAAGAACAGAGAGGUCUAAACUAUUUGUAUAUUUUUAAAUGCCAAAUACACCGGGCUGCUGCUGCUAUCUUGAAAAUGUGCUGUCUCUAAUGAUACAGGAAAGGACGUUUGGCAGGUUCUUGAUUUUUUAAAAAAAAAUCUUUUCAGUGUGUUUGUCUUUCUUUUUAUGAUUGAAGCCAUUUUUCUUUGAAAGGCAUCUACUUUUAGUCAGGGAAAAGAACAAAGUGGAGACAUUUGGGGAGAAUUUUAACAAACACCUUUAUCUUAGGAUGAGAAGUUGUAAUAAUAAAUUAAAAAAAUGUUAAUCGACUUCAGUGGAAUCUGUGUUGGGCAUACAAUACAUACCCCUGGUCUCAAUAGAAAAUGCCUUUUAAACCCAAAGUGGCUUAACAAUCCUGAAAGAAAAUUGAAAUAGUUGCAAAUUGGGGGCGAAAGUACACCAAGAAUCAUCUUAAAGGAAAGUGAAUAUACAUACCUGGGUCUUUACAAGGAUUUGUGCAUACCCAAACAGUACCCUUUUAGAAAGGCUUUCCCUGUUAUUUCCUCAUUGUAAUGUUCCUACACUCCUGUGCAAAACAGGAAUUAAAUAUGUUAACAAAGCAGAUGUUCAACAACUGUGAAGCAAUGAGAAUGCUUCAGGAGUACUCGGCAGAAAUUGCUACCCUUUAUUAUUAUUUUUUCCCCCAAAUAAACUGUUCCUUCCACAUCAUCGGGGUACAUUUACACGCCUGGUGGUAGCAACGAAAGUUACAUUGUCAUAGUCUUCAACUCUAUGUGUUGAGGGGAAAUGCAGGCUUUUCAGUAAUGUAAAUAUACACGUGGAAGUCCCAGCUGUACAUUGCAACACUCCCCUUCCUCUCCUUCAUUGCUUCAGCAUCCUUCUUUACUCUUCCCCACUGGCCCUGCGUGUAGUACCUCUGUGGCACAGCGGAAGGAUUUAGCCUCAUCUGUUUCGGUUCGUGCUCUAGUGCCUUAGCCCAAAUCCGUCCUCAUGGCUGGGCACUGCUCGGGAGGGACCUGGAGCUUUGAUCCUUCAUAAAGUCUUCCACCCUGCCCCAGUAGCUUGGGCACUGCUAGCAGUUUGGCCUGUGCCAGCACGGAUAUCCAUGAAGGGGAUUUACCCAGUUAUAGCCGUGGGAUUUGUGGUCCAUCUCUGUCUUCAGGACUCGAGGCAGCAACUUCCAAGGUAGCUCGGUGUGUCUGCAGGAGCUGCUGUCAUGCCUUGAUUACAGUGUAGCUGCAGACGAAGUGCAGUUAUUGAAAAUAUUCUUCCUUCUUGAUAGUUUAAUUGGUAGCAUUUAGUUAAUUGUGUGUAUUCUCUCGUAGCAGAAUUAAAUCUAGAAUUAU